GCUUAACUGGCAGUAAAUAUCCAGAGGUCAUAGCUUUUAGCAUAACUUUGAAAAUAAAUGAAAAAAGUAACUGAAUAAAAUCAUUAUUAAUGAUGGAAAAGAAACACAGAAGAUCAGCCUCAUAAUAUUUUAAAGUCAUGUGGUGAGCAGUUUGCUUGACCAUACUCUGUCCAUGCUGUACUACCUCUCCACAGGCUGAGGAAAAGCUGGGCCAAUUGAACAAGGACCAAAGCCUCCUAAACUCACAGGGCUGCAAAGAUGAUGAUCAAACAACUAAUCUAAUGAAGAAGAGGCCAACACUCUGGAGAAGAGAUAAGCCUGCCUGGAAGAGUUGACUACUCCAAGGAAAAACAGGGAAUUCAAUUGAUGAAUAUCAUUCUGUAACUUGUGUGCACACACUUCAUGACCUUGCAACCUGCAGAAAAUAUGUGACUGUGGUCACUAUAAAUUGUGGUAAGUUUGUCAUGACAGGCUCUGGUUUUGUGGCAAACUUUUGGGAGAGCAAUUGAACUGGAACAGAAAUACAGCAACCCAUUUUCCUGGUCCUAAGCCACGUUCUCCAUAGGUCUUUAUCAAUAGAAAAGAUAUUUUGAUUGCCAUCUGCCUGAUUCAUAUUUCUGUUUCCAUUUGCUCAAGUGCACUACAAAUGUUCUUUUUGAACCCCUAAAUACUAAAGUCCAUGGAAUAUUAUAAUUUUGUGACCUUAUUCUUACAUAGGGAGUACUGGUGCCCAGUACAUUUGAAGAGUUAGCCUAAACAUAGAUUUCCUGAUUAAAACAUAUAAGGUGCAAGUUGUGAGCAGGAAUUGUCUGUUUAAAUAGCUCACCAGCAAAACAGGCCUGAUUCUGUACUUUCAGGAUAUGAAUAGCCACAAUAUGAAUGUCUACUUCUCUCAUGGUACUGAACAAAGAGUUUCUUUGCCGAGUUUUUUUACCCCAAUAUUUUAUCUGUGUCUUCCCUUCCACAUUCUCUAGGAGAAAUUAGCUUGAAUAACUUCAAACAUUCUAUGACCUAGAUUAAGAGAAUUGAGUAAAUGCUUUUAUUGGUGCCAAACAAAAUAAAUUCAAUUGUUGAACCACAGAGUACAUAAUGUUAAACCUUAUAGGCUUUUAUUUUUCUCUCCUUUCUAAGGUUAGUUUUACCUAAUCCUCCAGAAAAUGUAUCAGAAGUCCUUUUUAUACUCUACAAAUCCUGAACGAGUUUAUUCAUAAAGUCAAGUACUAGUUCAAGAGUGUUUUUGUUGUGAAAAUGAUUAUAAAGUAGCCACUCUUCAUGUAUUUUAUAAAACUCUCAACUUCUGCUACUUAAAUUACCUGGCUAAUUAGGUCUCCAAUGAGCAGGUGUGUAAACACAUUCAUUUUUAACCUUAAAAAUAAUUUCUAACACUCCUGGGUGCUGUUAAAAUUGCAGUUAAUAAAAAAAAUUGCUUAAGCUUUGUGAGGAUGAUGCAGUUAAUCAGAGAUCUCUAAAGAAAUCUGCUGGGUAGGAACAUAGAACUGUGCAAGCAAAUUUGAAAAUAUUGUAAUCCCAAUGGAUUUCAAUAGAGAAUUUAGUUUCUUAACUUAAAAGUAAGUGGUACUUGUAUCAAUUACAUUAGUUACAUUAAUCACCAAGUUUUCAUACAGAGAAGCAUAGUUAAGCAGAGCAGCUGUUUAAAUUGUUAAGGAUAAUGACUUGCAUAACAUUAUAAGAAUGUGAAACAGUUUUUCCAUUAACAAAAUUAAGGUGAAUUAUAUGUAUCAACUACGGCCCAUAGACAAAGCCUAAGAAAGAAAAAUUCACAAACCAUCACCCUAUUCCUUUUUUCUGUCUCCAGCUACAUCACUAUACCAUUGCAGAAAGUCGCUAGAUGAUCCAUCGCAGAAGCCACUGAUUUAUAAUACACACCAGACGUCUUAACUUUAACGUACAAGUUAUGAAAAACAAAAAAUGCUGUGGUUUAAACCAUUUAUUCAGGAUAAUCUCAUCACAGUAUAAAUGAUUAUAUUGAGGUUCUCUAGCUUGUACCUUUGGAAUUACAGAAUAUAUAAUGAACUUAAUGAAAAAAAUCUUAAUUUGGGAAAUUUCUUAACUAAGCACAGACUAAGAUGUCCCAUUUCCAAAUAAAAUGCAAUCUACAUUUCUAAAUUCAACCUGAUCAAUCAUAGAAUUAAUAGAGAAACAUCAAAACUGUGCUUUGAAAUGUGCAAAACUCAGAGAAUUAAUGUGGAAAUCAAGAAAAGGUAGAAACCACCAUGUACUUCUAAAAUUCUCUUGGAACCUGAAACCUUUACAAAUAGCAGGGACAUUCAAUAUAUCUGGGGGGAAAUCCCAUAGUCAACUAUAUCACAACCCCAAAUCAAAUUUAAACUUCCUGUGCUUCAGCAAUCUUCUCUCAAAGAUUUGAGUCUGAAUGGGAGUAAAGCCUUAUCAGGAUCUACACUGUACUGACUUUGUGUGCAAAGAAAAUUUCUGAAUCAAUGAAUAAUUGUAUAUUUAAAUUAUAAUAGUGUUGCAGCAAGCCUUUAGACUAGAACCUGGAUUAUGGAUUUUUUUCUCAGUAGGACUAUAGUAUUAGAUUGUAAUAAGCAGAGGACCAGACUGUUGAUUCAGAUAUCCAAAAAUAAGGAGGUUCAGGAAGUGGUAAGAAUCAAGGUCAUACAAUUCUGUGAAUGUAGAUGAAAGAGAAAUGAGAAAAGACAGUUGAAGAAUGUUUUUCAUUAUUCACACUGAUCUUAUGACAAUUUCUUUCUAAAUAAUAAAAGCAAAACUCAAGCUGAAUCUGCUUUGCUGAGCAAUGGAAUAUCUUAGACAACUGCCUAGCUCAUUGUGCCUGUCUGCUAAAUGGUGAAAUACAAGGUAGAAGUUCAGAGAGCAGGAAGAGCCUAAAUAUGUAUUUAGUGGAGUUACGGAUAUGAAUGAUGUCAUCCUGAAAUAUUUUAAUGUCCCAAUUCUUUUCUCUUCUCUAGUAUCUUAGAAUCUCAAAAUGACCUCAUAUUAGUCAACUACAUUACACCAGCAAACUCAGCUAAAUGCUAUGAGCCCAUCCUGGAUGAAAACGAUCCAAUCAAACCCAACUUAAAUCACCCUCUUGAAACUCAUUAGCUCUUUGAAGGAUUAUUGUUUUAUGUAACUAAGAUUUCAAACUUUGUUAUACAGCAAGAUAGGUGAUUCAGUAAUGGCACCAGUAAUAUAUUUUGUAACAUAAACUGGAAAUUGCCAGCCAUUGAUUUGUACCUGAACAAUUUUGAAACUUUUAAAAAUAUACCCUGAGCCCACUUUGACCUAUGGAGUAACUGGUUCUGGGACGAUGUCAAUGUUCUGUGUAAGGGUCACAGUCUGCCUUAAUAUUGAGACCUAUUAAUUGAAGCAUAAUAUUUUCUUAAUAAUUGGAAGAGUGUAUUUCUAGAGUGACUACAUAUUUUCUCGCUAUCAUAAUCUGCUAGUAAAGAAAACCAAUUAAGUUUUAUAUUAUGUCUUAAUUUUUCUUAUAGCUAUAAUUUAUUCCCUAACCUGCAAAAACUAGUUAUGCAGGCUGCAGUCUAAAAUAUCACCCAAUUAUAAUGGACAUAAAAUUAUUAUCUUGGAAAAUUGCUACCUGGAAACACAUGGACAGUUAUUUAUAUCUUUUUGAUGAAGGUUAAAUGAGGAUACAAAUAAAUUUAAUCAUAUCACCAAGACAGCCAGAACCUAAUUAUUAAACCAAAAACCCAAAUAAUUUCUGCCCCAGCAAGAAGAAAGGUAUCGUUUCUACUACUCAUUUUCAUAUUCUUCAAUUAUGAUGAUAGCAUUCUGUCUCAUUUUGCUCUUGUUUUUUGUUUUGUUUUCCAAUUUUUCCCUUUUCUUGGAUAUCAUCACUUGGAUGGUACAUUAUUACUGUAUUAAUUUCAGACAAGCCUAAAAUAAUCAUCCUGCAAAGGAAUCUUUACUCUACCCCCCCCACCACUAAAUCUAACUCUCUUUAUGUAAUUACUGAUUUUUAUUUCCCCCAUGGGUAUAAGCAAUGAUAUGGCAACUGUAUUUUGUUAUGCCACCUAUGCUAUAAUUGUGUAUAUUAUGUACUUUAUAAUUAUAUAAUUAUUAUAUGCUGUAUAAUUACUAUUUCAAACUAAAGUAUAUAAUAUUGUAAUAUAUUAUUGCUGUAUUAUAUACCAUCUCCAGUGUGUAUAUAUAUAUAUUAUAUAAUUAAACAAUUAUGUUUCAUUUAUUACAAUUAACAAGUCAUAUUAUCACAGCUCACAAUAUCAAAUGACCAGCAAUUGGGCAUUAAACCCAAGUAGAUUUUUGCCUAAACUCCUCAGUGAAACACCUUUCCCUGUACUACAGUACAUAUUUUUGAUUCCUCACUAUAUGCACUACUUUUAAUGCAACAAAAAUAUUUUAAGGUAUAAAGAAAAAGGAAUAAUGAUUGGAAAUUGUAAAGGUGUACUGAGUCUAGUAUUCUACUUAAAGGCUAUAGCCAUGGUUGAAUACACAACUAAAGUGAUUAAAAGUACAUACUGGAAAUAGAAUCUAGUUAUGGACCGUGACACUGUUGUGGCUAUCAAAAAACCUGAGUACUCUUUGGCUGUAGUGUUAAUCAAGUGUAUGAUUAUGGGAGAAUCAUUUAACUCCAGUUUUCCAGUCUGCAAGGUAAAAGGAGAAGUAUUAGAUUUCAAAUUUGGCCACAUGUUAUUAAUGCUUCCCAGCACUUGGACUUAUACCCUGUCUGGAAGUUAAGGUGUACUGACUGAUAACCAGUACUCUCCUUUAGUGAGGGCAGAAUUGGGGGGUGUCACAUAGAGCAUUGGUUUUCAGAAAGAAGCAGAUGUGUGUUUGGAUUCCAGCUGCACCCCUUCUGGCUGUGGGAUUUGGGCCAAUGUUCUUCACCAUGCCAAGUUUUAGUUCACUCGAUGGUAUAAUGGUGAUGGUAACUUUUUCUCAGAGAAUUCUGGGGAUAAAUAAGACGACAUGGAAAAGCUUCAGAAAGUUAUAUUUUGGCCUCAAUGCUAGUUUCCAUUCCUCUCAUUCUUCUUUUAUCUCUCUGAAGUUUUCACUGUCACCAUUAGUAUUUGUACUUUCUCUAGCCAUUCUAAGUUCAAAUAUUUUUCUAGUUUAUUUAUAUAUUCUUCAGUGGGAACAAGAUCUUUAAUGAUCAGCUUUCAAGGCUUCCCCUAUAAGUCUGCUGACUGCCUGUGAAAAAAUUCUGUAACUAUAAUUACAAAAUUUAAUUGUCUUCCAGUUAUCACCUCAUAACUCUAUAACUCAUUCCUUACAUGUAUAGCAGACAACAUAAAAUUCCAUGAACCUGUUCCUAGUCUUUUACUUCUUAUUUUAAUUGGAUAUUACAGUCAUCUAAAGAAUUAAAAUUUCAAUCACCUGUAAUGCUCUUAUGCUACUCUUCUCCUUAUAAACAAUAAAUUGUAAUUGAUUUUCCUAGCUCCAUGCUCCCUUCUAUCUUCACCCCCCUUCUACCCACCUAUUACUACACAUAACUUUUACAGAAAUAAAGGUGCAAGAAAAAAGUGAAGAUAGAAGGAAAAAUGGAAGCAAAGCUUUUGUACAUGGGGGGAAUGGGAUAAAAUAGAAUAAAAUUUAAUAAAAAAGCACAAAGAAUAACUUUUAAAAUGGCUGAAAUCCAAUUCAAAGAAGAAAACAUUAUUUUAAAAAUUCAUAAAUCAAUGAAUAUAAAAUUCCAAAUGGUAGAUUUUGUUUCAGACAUUUUUUUUGAAACUACACUCCUAAAACUAGCACCCAGGCUCCUUUUUCUUUGCAUUGCUCUUUUCUUUUUUCCUCUUGCUUGAUUUGCUUCAUAAGUUGCCUUUCCUAUUGUGGUAACAAAGAUAUUAGUAGGAGCACUAGAACCACAUGAAAUGUAUGCCAAAGUCUGCUAAAAAGAAGAGUUUACUUAACAUAAGUUUAAUAAGGUCCCACAAAAAAUCCUGAUUAUUCUGGUUUAUUCUUACUUUUGCUUCUAUUCUAGAGAAUGAAGAGAUAUCUGGCAGCAGGAAAGUCUGCCCUUCCAAAAUCACAAAGAGCAUACAACAAAAGUUUUAAUUGUUCAUAUAUAUCCAAGUUCUGAAGACUUUAAUCCAUUUGUCUUGUGGAGGAGUGAGUUACUCCAGAGAUAUUACUUCAUUAGAGGUCCUUACACAUGAAAACAGAUGAAUUAUCAGAAAUGGAAUGCCCAAAUCCCUCAAAAAAAUCUCAUUAAUCUAAUAUGAUUUAUGAAAUUCCUCUUAUCUCUCUUCUGAAACAAGUUGAGCUGGGUGUGGUUGCAGCAUUUGUAAUCUCAGCCCUUGGGAGGCUAAAAUGAGAAGAUUCCUUUUAGUUCAUGACUGUCCUGGACUACAUAGUGAAUUCAUAGCCAGUGUAGAGUACAUAGCUAGACCCUGUUUCAGAAACAAACAAAUAAAAAUAUUCAAACAAAACAACAAAAACCUUCUAAUUUCAGUUGAAGAAAAAAGACCCUCAAUUGCAUUCAUAUUAUUCAAUUAAUCAUAUUUGGAUGUAUAGAAAUCCUGUAUCACUGUGAUUCAAAGUGGCCUCGCUGUUAUCUGGUUAAACGAAACAGAAUAGAAUUCAAAUGUUUUUUGUUUGUCUAUUGAGAUGACUAUGUGAUUUUUCUCCUUUCUUCUGUUUAUGUGGUAUAUUUAUUGACUGGUAUAUGUUGAAUCAUCCCUACAUCCCUGGAAUGAAUCCUAAUUAGUAAUGAUGUAUUAUUUUUUUUUAAAUAUUUGGUGCAUUCUGUUUUCCAGUAUCUUAUUUAGGAUUUUCACAUCUGUGUACAUUAAAGAGAUUUGCCUGUAGUUCUCUUUUUUGGUUGAGUCCUUUUCUGGUUUUGGAAUCAGGUUUUUACUUGCUUCCAGGAAUGACUUUGAAAGUACUGUUUCCCUUAGAUUUCAUUAAAGAGUUUGAGGAGUACUGGCAUUAGAUCUUCUCUAAAGUUCUUGUAGUAUUUGUCACUGGUUUGUCAGAACCUUGGCUUUUCUUAGUUCUUCAAUUUCACUGAUUGAUAUUGGCUUAUUUAGGAUUUUUAUAAUGCUUUUGACAAAACCCCACAUCCAUUUAUGAUUUAAAAAACACUGAAAAAAUAGAAAUAUAAAGUCUUUAUCUCAACAUGAUAAAAACCAUCUAUGACAAAAUAACACCUAACAUCAUACUAAAUGGACAGAAGUUGAAAGUUUUCCCUCUAAAAUCACUAUAAAGACAAAAAUGUCUGUGAUCACCACUUCUGUUUAAUAUAAUUCUCAAAAUAUUAGCGAUAAGAUAAGAGAAAGAAUUAAAAGGUAUAUGGAUAGGAAAGAAAGAUGCUACAUUAUCAUUAUUUUCUUAUGACAUGAUACUCUACAUAGAAGACCCCUCAAACUAGACCAAAAGACUCCUAGAAGUAAUAUCCAAAUUCAGCAGUGGAGCGAGAUACAAAGUCAACCCUCAAAAAUCAAUACCAUUCCUGCACACCAAUAGCAAACUCCAUGAGAGGGAAGCUUGAAACAAUACCCUUCUCAGUAGCAUAGAGAAAAAUGCAUACUUAGAAAUUAUUCUAACCAAGGAAGUGAAGACCUUUACAAUCAAAACUAUAGUACUCUUCAAAAAGAGAUAGAAGAGGAUAUCAUAAGAUGAAAAGAUAUUCUCUGUUCCAGGACAAGCAGAACAAAUAUAGACAAAAUGAUUGUACUUCUAAAAUCAUUAUAUAGAUUUAAAAUAAUUCAAAUCAAAAUACCAAUAAUGUUCCUUACAGAACUCAGGAAGCAACUGUAAAAUUCAUAUAGAACCAGAAGAGACCUAGAAUACUAAAAGCAGUUCUGGGGAAUGAGGGAAAGGCAGGAGGCACCACAAUCUCAGACAUGAAAUUAUAUUACAAGGCUAUAGUGAUAAAAACAGCAUGGUAUUGGGAAAAAACACAGAUUCAUGGAUCAAUGGAACAGAAUAAAGAUACAGAAACAACUCCAGACACGUAACUAUAUUAUUUUUGACAAAGGGCCCAAAUCUCGUUUCUUGAGGAAAUGUAGUCUCUUCAACAAAUGGUGUUGGGGAAACUGGCUAUUCAUGUGUCAAAGAUUGAACCUAAUCCCAUAUAUCUCACUAAACUAAACUAAAUUAAACUAAACUAAACUCAAAACUGUACUAAACUGAAAUAAAAAUGGAUCAAAGAUCUAAACAUUAGAACAGAAACACUUAAUCUGCUGGAAGACAAAAUAGGUAAAACUCUUGAAGACAUAGGUGUAGGCAAAGACUUUGUGAACAAAACCUCAGUUGCAUAUGAAAUUAUACCAAGAAUCAACAAAAGGGAUCACAUCAAAUUAAAAAUCUUCUGCACAGCAAAUGAAAGUACUAACAAAAUGAGGAGACAACCCACAAAAUGGGAAAAAUUUUGCCAGCUAUGCAUCAAAGUACUAAUGUGUAGAAUACAAAAAGAAAGCCAAAAAUUAGACCCUCAAAAUUUAAGGACCCAAUUAAAAAUGGGCAUCUGAAAUUAAUAGACAUUUAUCAGAUGAAGAAAUACAAAUGUCCAAUAAAUGCAUGAAAAAACAUUCAACAUCAAUGCUGUUCAAGAAAUGCAAGUGAGAACAAUGCUAAGAUUCCAUCUUCGUACAAAAAGAAUGGCUGUCAUCAAGAAAUUAAUCAAUAACAAAUGCUGGUUAGGCUGUGGGGAGAAAUUAAAGCUUCUCCAUUGUUGGUGGGACUGAUAAAAUCACUCUGGAAAUCAGUAUAAAGAUCCAUCAAAGACCUAAAAGUAGGUUUUUGACCCAAUUAUCACCCUUCUAGGUAUCUUCUUAAAAGAGUUAAAAACAGGGCUGGGGAUUUAGCUCAGUGGUUCCAGCACCUGUCUCACAAGCACAAGACCCUGAGUUCUAUCCCCAGUACCAAAAAAAAAAAAAAAGAGAGAGAUAAAAACAUUGUAUCACAGUGAUGUAUGCAUGUAUGCAUACCGAUGUUUUUCACAGCACAAUUCAUAAGAGCUAAAUCUUGGAAACAGCUUAUAGAGUAUGUCCAUCAAGAGAUGAAUGGAAUAAAAAAAUGUGUUAUUUAUGCACAGAGAAGCACUGCUUUGUAGUAAAAAAGCAUAAACUCGAAUCAUCUUUAGGAAAAUGGAUGCACCUUGAGACCAUAAUGUUAAAUGAAAUAACUCAGACACACAAACUUAAAUAUUGCAUGGUUUCUCUGAAAAAUCCUUUCUGUUUCAAUAGAUAGAUAGAUAGAUAGAUAGACAGAUAAAAAGGAGAAAUUUUAAAAAUGCAUUGAAAUCCAGUGUGGACAGUGUAUCUAAAGUGUACCUUGAUUUAAUACAAUUGUCUUACAUAUUUUAUAUGAACUUUGGGCUCUUAGUCUGUUUUUCAAUUCGUUUAUAUGAUAAUUAGCUUUAUAAGGUCUUAUAAACAAAUGAAUCUUGUGCUGAAAAAAUAGAAGGUGGAUGGAGGGGGGCAAAAUUGAGACUUGAAAUGUGUUAUGUGCAUGUACCAAUCCCCUACAGUGAAUGUAAUCAUUAUGUACCACAAACAUGUACUAAAGAAAGCCAAGAAAAAAAACCUCCUGUCACCUUAAGGAGCUAUGUAAAUCAUCUACAGCAGUAGGGGCACAUAUAAAGAUUAUAUACAUAGGCCUGGGGUUUUAGCUCAGUGGUUAUGCCACCUUUCUUGAAAGUGCAAGGACCCAAAUUCAAUCCCCGGUACCAAAAAAAAAAAAAAUCUCAAGAUACA
RNAcentral lists this long non-coding RNA (9659 nucleotides) under Heterocephalus glaber (naked mole-rat). RNAcentral's name for it is "lncRNA (ENSHGLG00100038322.1)". Lineage: Eukaryota; Metazoa; Chordata; Mammalia; Rodentia; Bathyergidae. The record is from RNAcentral.